This 498-nucleotide ribosomal RNA is filed under the name uncultured bacterium. RNAcentral's name for it is "partial 16S ribosomal RNA". It matches the Rfam family "Bacterial small subunit ribosomal RNA", at positions 28 to 507 of the family's 1533-position model. The record is from RNAcentral.
GACGAACGCUGGCGGCGUGCCUAAUACAUGCCAGUCGAACGAGAGCGACCGGUGCUUGCACUGGUCAAUCUAGUGGCGAACGGGUGAGUAACACGUGGGUAACCUGCCCAUCAGAGGGGGAUAACAUCCGGAAACGGAUGCUAAAACCGCAUAGGUCUUCGAGCCGCAUGGCUUGAAGAGGAAAAGAGGCGCAAGCUUCUGCUGAUGGAUGGACCCGCGGUGCAUUAGCUAGUUGGUGAGGUAACGGCUCACCAAGGCCGUGAUGCAUAGCCGACCUGAGAGGGUGAUCGGCCACAUUGGGACUGAGACACGGCCCAAACUCCUACGGGAGGCAGCAGUAGGGAAUCUUCCGCAAUGGACGCAAGUCUGACGGAGCAACGCCGCGUGAGUGAAGAAGGUUUUCGGAUCGUAAAACUCUGUUGUUAGAGAAGAACAAGUGCUAGAGUAACCGUUAGCGCCUUGACGGUAUCUAACCAGAAAGCCACGGCUAACUACGUG